AUACGUAGGGGGCGAGCGUUGUCCGGAAUGACUGGGCGUAAAGGGCGUGUAGGCGGCCGAUUAAGUCUGGAGUGAAAGUCCUGCUUUCAAGGUGGGAAUUGCUUUGGAGACUGGUUGGCUUGAGUGCGGAAGAGGUAAGUGGAAUUCCCAGUGUAGCGGUGAAAUGCGUAGAGAUUGGGAGGAACACCAGUGGCGAAGGCGACUUACUGGGCCGUAACUGACGCUGAGGCGCGAAAGCGUGGGGAGCGAACAGGAUUAGAUACCCUGGUAGUCCACGCGGUAAACGAUGAAUGCUAGGUGUAGCGGGUAUCGACCCCUGCUGUGCCGCAGUAAACACAAUAAGCAUUCCGCCUGGGGAGUACGGCCGCAAGGUUGAA
RNAcentral lists this ribosomal RNA (377 nucleotides) under uncultured bacterium. Its description in RNAcentral is "bacterial SSU rRNA". It matches the Rfam family "Bacterial small subunit ribosomal RNA", at positions 523 to 898 of the family's 1533-position model. The record is from RNAcentral.